RNAcentral lists this ribosomal RNA (540 nucleotides) under Tripos fusus. RNAcentral describes it as "partial Bacterial large subunit ribosomal RNA". It matches the Rfam family "Bacterial large subunit ribosomal RNA", at positions 621 to 1154 of the family's 2925-position model. The record is from RNAcentral. Lineage: Eukaryota; Dinophyceae; Gonyaulacales; Ceratiaceae.
CUACGAGUUACUCCUCAUUGGCAAGGUUAAGUCUUUAAGGGACGAAUCCGAAGCGAAAGCGAGUCUGAAUAGGGCGAAUUAGUUAGUGGGGGUAGACGCGAAACUUGGUGAUCUACCCAUGAGCAGGUUGAAGUUGCAGUAACAUGUAAUGGAGGACCGAACCAGUAAACGUUGAAAAGUUUUUGGAUGACUUGUGGGUAGGGGUGAAAGGCCAAUCAAACUCGGAAAUAGCUCGUACUCCCCGAAAUGCAUUUAGGUGCAGCGUCGUGGUGAGUUUGAUAGAGGUAGAGCUACUGAUAGGGCUAGGGGGCUUCACCGCCUACCAACCCCUGACAAACUCCGAAUGCUAUCAAAUAUACACGGCAGUGAGGGCAUGGGUGCUAAGGUCCAUGUCCGAGAGGGAAAGAACCCAGAUCAUCAGCUAAGGCCCCCAAAUGUAUGUUAAGUUGAUCAAACGUUGUGCGAUUGCAUAGACAGCUAGGAUGUUGGCUUGGAAGCAGCCAUUCAUUUAAAGAGUGCGUAACAGCUCACUAGUCGAGC